This 468-nucleotide ribosomal RNA is filed under the name uncultured bacterium. Its description in RNAcentral is "partial 16S ribosomal RNA". It matches the Rfam family "Bacterial small subunit ribosomal RNA", at positions 28 to 507 of the family's 1533-position model. The record is from RNAcentral.
GACGAACGCUGGCGGCGUGCUUAACACAUGCAAGUCGAACGGAAAGGCCCUGCUUUUGUGGGGUGCUCGAGUGGCGAACGGGUGGGUAACACGUGAGUAACCUGCCCUUGACUUUGGGAUAACUUCAGGAAACUGGGGCUAAUACCGGAUAGGAGCUCCUGCUGCAUGGUGGGGGUUGGAAAGUUUCGGCGGUUGGGGAUGGACUCGCGGCUUAUCAGCUUGUUGGUGGGGUAGUGGCUUACCAAGGCUUUGACGGGUAGCCGGCCUGAGAGGGUGACCGGCCACAUUGGGACUGAGAUACGGCCCAGACUCCUACGGGAGGCAGCAGUGGGGAAUAUUGCACAAUGGGCGGAAGCCUGAUGCAGCAACGCCGCGUGCGUGAUGACGGCCUUCGGGUUGUAAACCGCUUUCGCCUGUGACGAAGCGUGAGUGACGGUAAUGGGUAAAGAAGCACCGGCUAACUACGUG